GUCCACGCCGUAAACGAUGUCUACUAGCCGUUGGGAGACUUGAUUUCUUAGUGGCGCAGCUAACGCUUUAAGUAGACCGCCUGGGGAGUACGGCCGCAAGGUUAAACUCAAAUGAAUUGACGGGGCCCGCACAAGCGGUGGAGCAUGUGGUUUAAUUCGAUGCAACGCGAAGAACCUUACCAGGUCUUGACAUCCCCGGAACUAUCCAGAGAUGGAUGGGUGCCUUCGGGAACCGGAGACAGGUGCUGCAUGGCUGUCGU
This 260-nucleotide ribosomal RNA is filed under the name uncultured bacterium. Its description in RNAcentral is "partial 16S ribosomal RNA". It matches the Rfam family "Bacterial small subunit ribosomal RNA", at positions 793 to 1055 of the family's 1533-position model. The record is from RNAcentral.